This 492-nucleotide ribosomal RNA is filed under the name uncultured bacterium. Its description in RNAcentral is "partial 16S ribosomal RNA". It matches the Rfam family "Bacterial small subunit ribosomal RNA", at positions 29 to 507 of the family's 1533-position model. The record is from RNAcentral.
AGUGAACGCUGGCGGUAGGCCUAACACAUGCAAGUCGAACGGCAGCACAGUAAGAUCUUGCUCUUACGGGUGGCGAGUGGCGGACGGGUGAGGAAUACAUCGGAAUCUUCUUUUUCGUGGGUGACAACGUAGGGAAACUUACGCUAAUACCGCAUAUGACCUACGGGUGAAAGCAGUGGAUCUUCGCACCUUGCGCGAUUGAAUGAGCCGAUGUCGGAUUAGCUAGUUGGCGGGGUAAAGGCCCACCAAGGCGACGAUGCGUAGCUGACCUGAGAGGAUGAUCGGCCACACUGGAACUGAGACACGGUCCAGACUCCUACGGGAGGCAGCAGUAGGGAAUAUUGGGCAAUGGGCGAAAGCCUGACCCAGCAAUGCCGCGUGGGUGAUGAAGGCCUUCGGGUUGUAAAGCCCUUUUAUUGGGGAAGAACAGAAGUGUAUUUAACCACCGCUGUUCUGACGGUACCCAAAGAAUAAGCACCGGCUAACUACGUG